UUGGGGAAACCAAGUUGCAUCAAGUUCAAGGAACAGGUCUCCACUUGCACGGUGUCUGUAGCAGAACCAGGACCAGAAUUUUUGAUCUUUGACUGUUGCUCUAGAUGCUCAACUACUUUGUACUCUGUGCUUUGUUUGGGUGGAAGGAGACUUGCCUGAAACCUGGCACGGAUCUCUACUGAUUAGAAGCUGCUACUCUGACAGUUAUUUAAUGUUUCAGAAGCAAGGAGCUGGUGGGAAAAACUCUGCCAUUUGGUACAGAAGAAGGUUUGUUCCUCCAUUAGUUAAGGAUUUUGUGGCACCUGGCUUGGAUUCAGCCAACCGGACAAAGAGGAAACAGACCUCACAUCUUGACCUUUCUCCUGCACCCAGAAACCUUGUGGAAAAGCAGUCUGGUGCUUUGUUGGAUAGCUCUAGGAUAUCUGGAAAUAUUGCGGCCCCAUCACUGCAGUCCAAAGACUGUCAUCAGUGGAGCCAACAGAAGGGAUCACAUUCCCUUAGGUGCUGGUAUGCUUCAGCCACAAUAUUUAUUUGUGGCUGGAGCAAGAGGAUUCACUGUUGUUGGACUGGAGUCUUUGUUGUGGUGAGCACUGCCAGAUACACUAAGCACUUUAAAUAUCUGAGCAGAUGCAUCCUGGAAGCUCUGCCACUGGUGUCAGUUGGGAAUCCUAUUCCUUACCUUACAAAAUCCAGACUUAAUUUAUUUACUGUCUCCGAGACUCAGCUGCCAGGUUACUGCAUUUCUAAAGAUUUGGUCUUUUCCCUUCAUCAGUUUAACUUCAUGAUAAUGCCAUUUCACAAAACACUGAUACAGUUUUGCCUUCGCUUUCCUCCUGCUUGUCUCUCUGUCAAACACCCUCACUCUCUCAUUUUGAGUCUCUCUUCUGUCUCAGCUUUUUCUUCAUUCUUGCUUUGUCCUGUCUCAUUAGGUAUCCCUCAACCUUUGCACUUUUCAGACCAUCAUUACUCACUUCAAAGACAUUACUGA
This 988-nucleotide long non-coding RNA is filed under the name Anser brachyrhynchus (Pink-footed goose). Its description in RNAcentral is "lncRNA (ENSABRG00000016071.1)". The record is from RNAcentral. Lineage: Eukaryota; Metazoa; Chordata; Aves; Anseriformes; Anatidae.